GAUGAACGCUAGCUACAGGCUUAACNCAUGCAAGUCGAGGGGCAUCAGGAAGAAAGCUUGCUUCUUGCUGGCGACCGGCGCACGGGUGAGUAACACGUAUCCAACCUGCCCUUUACUCGGGGAUAGCCUUUCGAAAGAAAGAUUAAUACCCGAUAGUAUAAUGAUUCCGCAUGGUUUCAUUAUUAAAGGAUUCCGGUAAAGGAUGGGGAUGCGUUCCAUUAGGUUGUUGGUGAGGUAACGGCUCACCAAGCCUUCGAUGGAUAGGGGUUCUGAGAGGAAGGUCCCCCACAUUGGAACUGAGACACGGUCCAAACUCCUACGGGAGGCAGCAGUGAGGAAUAUUGGUCAAUGGACGAGAGUCUGAACCAGCCAAGUAGCGUGAAGGAUGAAGGUUCUAUGGAUUGUAAACUUCUUUUAUAAGGGAAUAAAACCUCCCACGUGUGGGAGCUUGUAUGUACCUUAUGAAUAAGCAUCGGCUAACUCCGUG
This 487-nucleotide ribosomal RNA is filed under the name uncultured bacterium. RNAcentral's name for it is "bacterial SSU rRNA". It matches the Rfam family "Bacterial small subunit ribosomal RNA", at positions 28 to 507 of the family's 1533-position model. The record is from RNAcentral.